AUAAACCUAGACUAAAAAUGAAAAAUAAAAAAAAUGUUUUACAACAAUUGGGAUGACCCCAACAAACACCCAUCAGUAGGUGUUGAAAUUCUUCUCGCUUGAUAUUCUUUUCUUUUUCUUCUUCCUACUGAAUUCCUUCAUAAAGUUGAGAACACCAAGCACAUGUUUCCAUGUAUCAAUCAUAGGAACUUUAAUCUCCAAUUUCUUGAAGAUCUGCAUAAAGUACUUGAACUUCUUUUCAUUCCUAUGAUUCUUCUUUUGACGAGGAAGAGGCUUUUCCUAUGAUCUUUUCUUCUUUCCUCUCCUCUUUUUCUUAAUUUUCUCCUUCCUUAACCUUCUCUUUUUCUUUUUCUUUUCUUUCUUUAUUUUCACUUUCUUUCUCAUUUUUUCUUUUCUUUCAACCACGGCUUUUCCUUUCUCAUCCUUCUUCUCACUCUCAUUCAACUUUUUUGUUUCUAUCUCCUCUCUCUUUUUCGCAACAACUUUUUCUGUUUUUUUUCCUCUUCCAACAACUCUCGCUCUUCUUCUUCUUUCUUUUCCUCAUUGAGAAUCUUAUCAUGUGCAAAGAUAGUGGCUUGACAUUCUUCUUUAGGGUUGACUUCAAUAUCAACCUUGAUAAUGCCCAAAGCCUUCAGGGCAUGGGAGUGUUGUUCCUGCAAUAAACGUGCUUGUUUUUCUCCCAAAGU
This 686-nucleotide long non-coding RNA is filed under the name Vigna radiata. Its description in RNAcentral is "long non-coding RNA (VRAD_LNC017605)". The record is from RNAcentral. Lineage: Eukaryota; Viridiplantae; Streptophyta; Magnoliopsida; Fabales; Fabaceae.